RNAcentral lists this ribosomal RNA (301 nucleotides) under uncultured bacterium. RNAcentral's name for it is "partial 16S ribosomal RNA". It matches the Rfam family "Bacterial small subunit ribosomal RNA", at positions 509 to 807 of the family's 1533-position model. The record is from RNAcentral.
CAGUCGCCACGGGAAUACGAAGGGGGCUAGCGUUACUCGGAAUUACUGGGCGUAAAGGGCGCGUAGGCGGCGCUCCAAGUUAGGCGUGAAAGUCCUGGGCUCAACCUGGGAACUGCGCUUAAGACUGGAGUGCUUGAGGAUGGAAGAGGGUUGUGGAAUUCCCAGUGUAGAGGUGAAAUUCGUAGAUAUUGGGAAGAACACCGGUGGCGAAGGCGGCAACCUGGUCCAUUACUGACGCUGAGGCGCGACAGCGUGGGGAGCAAACAGGAUUAGAUACCCCCGUAGUCCCUGUCUCUUAUAC